Nymphalis io (European peacock) is the source of this 3107-nucleotide RNA transcript. It is a transcript of the gene named pH-sensitive chloride channel 2-like, with no coding region annotated. The record is from RefSeq and is a predicted model, not a curated record. The transcript is spliced from 3 exons. Lineage: Eukaryota; Metazoa; Arthropoda; Insecta; Lepidoptera; Nymphalidae.
GUGACAGUGUCAAAUUUUAAAAUACAAAGGCGACAUGUUAUAUAUUUACAUCUGACCCACGUGCAAUUCAUAUUACAAUAUUAUACAUUUAAUUAUUAAUUACAGACACAAAGUGCCGUAAAUAUGACUAGCUCAUUAAAAGAAAUAUAUGAGAAAACAGGUGAAUAUGAAGCUUUCUACACUGGUGGUGAUAUUCAGUGGACAACUGAUGGUGGGCAUUUUCUAUGCCAGUGCAAUGACAUUAUAAAAGUUAUUGAUGUAAACACACUUUGCAAUACACUUACAAUAGGAGAAUCACUGGAUGAAAAAGAUGACAGUGAUCAAAUAUACACUUUCCAAAUGUCUCAUGACAAUCAAACUAUAGUAACCGCACAUAAAAGUGGAUUGUUAAAGCUCUGGGAUAGAGAAACGGGACAACAACGAAAAUUAUGGCGGUCUGGUCACAAAGGAGCAGUUGCCAAGCUAGCGUUUGAUUCUAAUGAUACCAAUAUUGCAUCAGGUGGAACUGAUGGAAAUAUAAGAUUGUGGGACAUCAAUUUUCAUACUUGUACAAGUAGUUUAAAAGGAGCCAUGGGUGUAUUCACUGUUCUUAAAUAUCACCCAGAUUUUUCCAAACAACUUAUUUUUGGAGCUGCUGAUGAUACAAAAAUAAGAUCAUGGGAUUCUAAAUCUGGUAAAGAAAAUGUUAUAUAUACUGGUCAUUUUAGCAAAGUAACUUCAUUACAAUUUACUCCAGAUAAUGAGUAUAUGAUAAGUUCCGGAAGAGAUAGAGUUUUAAUUCUUUGGAAACUUGGUGAAAGUAAGCCUGUUAAAGUUUUACCUGUUUAUGAAAGUAUAGAAGCAACAAUACUUAUGCCACCAACUUUCAAAAUACCAAAUUUUAAAAAGAAAUUAGAGACAGAAGGAAUUUAUGUUGCUUGUGCUGGUGAAAAGGGGAUUAUAAAAAUAUGGAACAUACAAAUGAGCUGCCUUAUGUUUGAACAAUCAAAUAGUCUUGUAUCUUCAUCUACUGAAGAAGGUGGCCUUGCAAUCACUAAUUUGAUAUUCAAUACAGCAAGAAAUAUGAUAUCAGUGGUUACAGCUGAUCAUAAUAUUAUAGUUCAUGAUUUGGAAACAUUUACAUGUAUAAAACAAAUAAUUGGAUUUACAGAUGAAAUAUUAGACAUAAUAUUUGUUGGGAAAGAUGAAUCACAUAUUGUUGUAGCUACAAAUAGUAGAGAUUUGAAGUAUUAUGAACUAGGAAGUAUGGAUUGUAAAUUGUUAAAAGGGCAUACAGACAUUGUUUUAGCUCUAGCUAACUUUCCUGCAAGACCUGAUAUUUUCGUAUCUUCUAGUAAAGAUAAUACAGUACGAAUAUGGGCUCAGGUGACUACUCUAGAAAUAAAAUGUUUUGGAUUUGGGGCAAGGCACACUGCCUCUGUAGGCUCUGUCUUCACUUCACAGAUAUCUGAUACAUUUUUUACUUCUGUAAGUCAAGAUAAUUGCUUAAAGAUUUGGACAGUUCCAAAAGACAGAGAUUCUGGUGAUCAAAAAAUUAUACCAAGUCAUACAGAAUUGGCUCAUAACAUGGAUAUCAAUUGUGUUGCUGUAUCACCCAAUGACAAAAUUAUAGCAACUGGCUCACAAGAUAAAACAGCAAAACUUUGGAAUGAUGAAUUGUCAUUGUUAGGAGUAUUAAAGGGACAUAGGAGAGGCAUAUGGUGUGUGCGAUUUUCACCAGUAGAUCAAGUCAUUUUAACAUCUUCAGCUGAUAGUACAUUAAAAUUGUGGUCAAUUGCAGAUUUAAGUUGCUUGAAAACUUUUGAAGGUCAUGAAAGCUCUGUCCUUAAGGUAGACUUUUUAAGUAAAGGACAACAAAUAGUGUCAAGUGGAGCAGAUGGUCUUCUUAAACUAUGGAAUAUUAAAUCGUCUGAAUGUAAAAUGUCACUGGACAACCAUGAUGGCAAGGUUUGGUCGAUGGUAGUUAAUAAAAAUGAGGAGAUAAUAAUAACCGGAGGAUCUGACUCUAAAUUGGUGACUUUAAAAGAUGUCUCCACAGAAAGAAGAGAAAAGUUAGCCAAAGAAAGGGAAGAACAAAUUUUACAAGAACAAGAAUUAAUGAAUUUACUACAUGACAAAAAAUUAGUCAAAGCUCUCAGAUUAGCAUUACGUAUGGAAAGACCUUUUCAUGUAUUAAAAAUUGUAAAUGAAGUUUUAAAAUUUGGUCAUGAAAAAUUAACAGAGACCCUGAAAGAAAUUAACAAUACACAAAAAGAAGCUUUGUUAAAAUUUGCAACAGAGUGGAAUACAAACAAUAAGAAUUGUCAUGCAGCUCAACUUGUAUUUAAUAUAUUAGCACCAGAAUUAAUAUCAGGUAAUUUGAAAGUACCAUCAUUAUCAAACUUUAUUGAAGGUGCAUUGCCUUACACUGAGCGGCAUUUUGAAAGAUUGACUAAUUUGUUACAAGACCUAAAUUUUAUUUCUUAUACUGUUAACUGUAUGCAACCUCAUCCUGAUAAAAGCAUAGAUCAACAUUAAAAUUGAAAAUUAUAACGUUGUUUAAUUGAACAUUAAUUCAUAAUUGUAAUCUUUAAAAUUAACAAUGUCUAUAAACCACUUAUCUAUGGCGCACGUUUGCUCUGACGCACAAAAAACUGUGUCAUUAAAACUUAUACUUGCGAAAUGCUAAUUUACGUGGUGUGUGUAAAAGCUCAUAAACGAUAAACAUUUCCGUCGCCUGCGCAACCUUUAUACGCUUUCCGUGAAAACUGCUUCCUAAUAUGCAGUAGGGCAGUAGUGGUGAAUCGAUUACGCGAAGCAGACGCGUCGAUUUUUGUGCGCGCUGUUAUUGUCGUAUUAUGUUAACAGAUUCAUCAUGAGCUCAAAAACUGUUUUAAUUAGUGUAAUGAUCUGUAUUUUAAAUAGUGCAAGAGGACAAAAGCCAUCACAGAAUCCUGUGUUGGAGUGUCCUUCUCUCGACAAGGGAGACAGCUACACGCAGUCAGAGUUCCUGUCACGCCUGGCCCACGAGUGCCGUUAUGACCGACUGCUUCUCCCAACUUAUCAGACAGGGGAAGUGGUGUAUGUACAUGCCAGCGCUUACGUAUACUUUAUACAACCAGCUGAAG